GUUGUAUAGUCAAGUAAUUAAGUGCAUGUGGUGGAUGCCUUGGCAGUCAGAGGCGAAGAAAGACGUAAUAGCCUGCGAUAAGCUCCGGGGAGGCGGCAAAUAUCCUGUGAUCCGGAGAUUUCUGAAUGGGGAAACCCACUUACCAUAAGGUAGGUAUCGCAACAUGAAUACAUAGUGUUGCGAGGCGAACGAGGGGAAGUGAAACAUCUCAGUACCCUUAGGAAAAGAAAUCAAUUGAGAUUCC
This 244-nucleotide ribosomal RNA is filed under the name Acinetobacter sp. ANC 4169. RNAcentral describes it as "partial 23S ribosomal RNA". It matches the Rfam family "Bacterial large subunit ribosomal RNA", at positions 1 to 238 of the family's 2925-position model. The record is from RNAcentral. Lineage: Bacteria; Pseudomonadati; Pseudomonadota; Gammaproteobacteria; Moraxellales; Moraxellaceae.